Zingiber officinale is the source of this 713-nucleotide long non-coding RNA. RefSeq lists it as uncharacterized. The record is from RefSeq and is a predicted model, not a curated record. The transcript is spliced from 5 exons. Lineage: Eukaryota; Viridiplantae; Streptophyta; Magnoliopsida; Zingiberales; Zingiberaceae.
UCUCCCGAUUCCUUCUCACCGAUAACCCCUCUACCCGAGCUUUCCCCUCUCCGGCGAUUUCUCCUCUCCGCCUCUCGGUGUCGCCGGCGCAAGCAACCACCGGAGCUUUGCAGGGCGGGUUCUCCGUCCUCUCCCUCUUGAGGUGUGGAUCCCUCCUCCCUUCCUCUCCCUCCUCUUCCUGCCCUAGAUCGCCGACGGAGAGCGUUCUCCACCUGUGAGCUCGGCUUCAACGCGUCACCAGAGGAAGUCGCCGGAUGUUAUUGAAGAUAUCCAAGCCAUUUCCAGAGGUGUGAUCGCUUCCUCGGUCGGUUCUUGCGCUCGAUCGGGGGAAAUCCAAUCUAGGGCACAACGAGCUCCACACUUGCUGGAUCAGAUUGGGACAACACCAUCCGGAGGUAGUCGAUCAAGAGGAGGUGUUAGUUGGUACAGUGCUUGUGCCGAUCACUGUCUUGUUUCCAAUGCUGGAAGCUGUGGGAGUCUCGGCUGGGGAAUUUGAGAUCGAUUGAGGAAUUGGUGUAGGGCUUCUUGGUAGCUGCCGGCAGAGGUCUUGUUGGGCUGUGAGAUUUGGAUUUUGCUACCAAACCUUAAGGACUUUGUUUCGAGGCGAGCGUCUCAACGUGAAAUUUAUUCUGGACACGAUCUGCAUAUCAAGGCGGGUAUUUCUGCCUUGGCCUCUUUAUAGUUUCUUUGAAACUUAGUGCAUGAUUAUUAUU